AUGACAAAACCGGGACCCUUAAAGAAGGGACACAUCCUCUCGAGAGUCCCCUUCUUGGGUCGCAGAAUGUUCUCCAAGACAAAAGGGGUCGGGGAGCCAUGCAUUCAACCCACCACUUCAAACCAUUUACAAAAUGGAAUUCAAAGACCUCAAGCGGACAUCCUUGCCUAUUUUGGGACUGGGGACCACGUAACGAACACCUGUGGACCAAAGCAACAGAAUUCCCCUCUCAAUGGAUAUACUGCCAAGAAACAUUUAGCUAAUCAGUGGGGUCAUGCACGGCUAGACGUGACUGGCCAGAUUUGUCAGACAGAGUUAACCAGCGUGCGGUGGAAUCGGCUUCCAGGGAAGGACCUACAGCAUAACAGAGUCUCUGUGAACUACCGCUUGAGAGAAUGCAGCUUUGUGGUCCACCGGCACCAGAUCGAGCCACACCCCUUCUUGAGGAAGUGUGCUCUGGACGCGCCAACACAGUUCAGAGGUCAUGGAAACUGUGGAGUGCCUGUUUGUGCAGCAGAGCAACAAUCAGGCUCUGUGCGAGGGGCCCUGCUUACAGAACAACAUGCAUCGGACUGGAUGGACUCAAGUGCCACUCACAAUUCAACCUUUAAUAAGAAUGCAGAACUUUGCACUUCUAACAGACAGGGAACUUUAAGUAGAUGCCUGGGAUGUGUCAUGCAAGAAUUUAAUGGACCUAGUCCGGUGCAUGAAGUUAUGCUAUCUACCAAAGAUGUCAACAAGACCAAUUCUAAGCACCUUAAGUGUCAAGCAAAGGUCACCCAAGGGGAUCUCAGUGGACCAGGAAGAGGGUCUUACGCUUUCAGCUCUAAGCACUCACAAAGAGCAAUUCGGGACCAGAUCCAAAAAGUUGUUGUGAAUCUCGAGGAGGUUCUACACGGCCUGAAAGAGAUACAUCUGGAAAUGAAGGAGGUGGUCCAGAAGAUAGACCUGUUGACGGCUGACAUUGAUAUGGGCAAUGAAGAACCAGGGGACACUUUCAAAGGCAGGAUAGACUCUAGAGUGGCAUCAUCUCAAGGAGUCUGCUCUGACAAGUCAUCCCUCAAAACACCACCAGCAUAUCCCAUAAAAGAUCAAGGGCUGCAUGAUGCAGAUCGAAAACGGGAAUCAACUCAGGAGUUGGUCCUUUCUCAAAGAGAUACAUCAGGGACUGCUUCAAGGGGCAGGAGCCAGAAGCCUCCUCCUUACCCCUACGCCAGCACAAAAGGAAGAGUGAAUCCUAAAGCAAAAGACAAAGGUCAGAAGACGCCACCCUACCCCUUUAGACGGAAACUGCUCUUGACCAUUGUUUGA
Cyprinus carpio (common carp) is the source of this 1311-nucleotide long non-coding RNA. The record is from Ensembl. NCBI's taxonomy places the organism in Eukaryota, Metazoa, Chordata, Actinopteri, Cypriniformes, Cyprinidae.